GGUGAGCGUAACGUCUCGCUGUCACCUGAGUGGGGGUCGUCCGUUGGUGGCAGGAGAAUCGCGCUUCCCUGCCUGGCACCGGGUACAAGUGACAAUCUGCCCCUUGCAAGGCCGCAGUCUCCGGUGGGAUGGGGACGGAGGUCCCCAUCUCUCGGGUGAUGAUGAGACGCGCAACGCCUCAGGCUGGAAACAGAGCAGGGAAAAGUGUCCGCUGUGGCGCAGAGCAGGGAUCACAGAGUGUCACCCCGGCUGAACAGGGCAGGUGGAGGAGCUCCUCACACCGCGUUU
Molecule: non-coding RNA, 288 nt
Organism: Toxoplasma gondii ME49
Lineage: Eukaryota; Apicomplexa; Conoidasida; Eucoccidiorida; Sarcocystidae
Source: Rfam